This 843-nucleotide ribosomal RNA is filed under the name actinobacterium SCGC AAA001-G18. RNAcentral's name for it is "SSU rRNA". It matches the Rfam family "Bacterial small subunit ribosomal RNA", at positions 56 to 871 of the family's 1533-position model. Lineage: Bacteria; Bacillati; Actinomycetota; Actinomycetes. The record is from RNAcentral.
UGCAGUCGAACGAGGGCCCGGAGCUUGCUUCGGUGACCCGAGUGGCGGACGGGUGAGUAACACGUGACCAACCUACCUUCGGGAGGGGGACAACCUGGGGAAACCCGGGCUAAUACCGCAUAUCGUCCACGGGCCGCAUGGCCUAUGGAUAAAAGGGAGCCUCUGCUUGCAAGCUCUCACCCGAAGAGGGGGUCGCGGCGUAUCAGCUAGUUGGUGGGGUAAUGGCCUACCAAGGCAUCGACGCGUAGCGGGUCUGAGAGGACGACCCGUCACAUUGGGACUGAGAUACGGCCCAGACUCCUACGGGAGGCAGCAGUGGGGAAUAUUGCGCAAUGGCCGAAAGGUUGACGCAGCGACGCCGUGUGUGGGAGGACGCCCUUCGGGGUGUAAACCACUGUCAGGGGGGAAGAACUUCGUAGGUGUGAAUAGCACUUGCGGUUGACGGUACCCCCAGAGGAAGCGCCGGCUAACUCAGUGCCAGCAGCCGCGGUAAUACUGAGGGCGCAAGCGUUGUUCGGAAUUACUGGGCGUAAAGGGCAGGUAGGUGGUCUGUUAAGUCUUCUGUGAAAAUCCGGGGCUCAACCCCGCGAAAUGCAGGUGAAACUGGCAGACUUGAGAUCGGUAGAGGCUAGCGGAAUUCCUGGUGUAGCGGUGGAAUGCGUAGAUAUCAGGAAGAACACCUGUGGCGAAGGCGGCUAGCUGGGCCGAUUCUGACACUGAACUGCGAAAGCGUGGGGAGCAAACAGGAUUAGAUACCCUGGUAGUCCACGCCGUAAACGAUGGGCACUAGAUGCCGGGCAUAUAGACGUGUUCGGUGUCGUCGCUAACGCAUUAAGUGCCCCG